AGGCAUACAAGGGGAACCUGCUGCUGAAACCCAUCGUGGAAGUUGCAGGCCAGGAUAUCAGCCACUGGUUUGAUCCAAAGACCAGAGACGUGAGUUAUACUGGAAUCUGGGAUUGUGGGUAGAGGCAAUGGAGAGCGGGGAUGGGAAGGAAAGGCGGAGGCUAGCCAGAGCCUAAUGACUGCUCUGACCCCAAACCCUCCUUUAAAGAUCCGCAAGCACAUAGAUCCGCUGACCGGCUGCCUGAGGUACUGCACCCCGCGGGGCCGCUUUGUGCACGUUCCGCCUCAGCUGCCCUGUUCGGACUGGGCCAACGAUUUUGGGAAGCCCUGGUGGCAGGGGUCGUAUUAUGAGGUGGGGCGGCUGUCUGCCAAGACCCGGAGCAUCCGCAUCAUUAACACGCUCACGUCGCAGGAGCACACACUGGAGGUGGGGGUUCUGGAGUCCAUAUGGGAAAUCCUACACCGCUAUCUCCCCUAUAACACACAUGCUGCCAGCUACACGUGGAAAUAUGAAGGGAAGAACCUGAACAUGGAUUUUACCCUGGAAGAGAAUGGGAUCCGGGAUGAGGAGGAAGAAUUUGACUAUCUCA
Molecule: small RNA, 589 nt
Filed under: Pongo abelii (Sumatran orangutan)
Lineage: Eukaryota; Metazoa; Chordata; Mammalia; Primates; Hominidae
Description: retained intron
Source: RNAcentral